This 324-nucleotide ribosomal RNA is filed under the name uncultured bacterium. RNAcentral's name for it is "bacterial SSU rRNA". It matches the Rfam family "Bacterial small subunit ribosomal RNA", at positions 28 to 334 of the family's 1533-position model. The record is from RNAcentral.
GAUGAACGCUGGCGGCGUGCCUAACACAUGCAAGUCGAACGGACAUUUUUUGGAAAGCUCUUCGGAACUGGAAUCUAAAUGUUAGUGGCGGACGGGUGAGUAACGCGUGAGCAAUCUGCCUUUCAGAGGGGGAUAACAGCCGGAAACGGCUGCUAAUACCGCAUGAUGCAGCUGGGUCGCAUGACCCUGGCUGCCAAAGAUUUAUCGCUCUGAGAUGGCCUCGCGUCUGAUUAGCUAGUAGGCGAGGUAACGGCCCACCUAGGCGACGAUCAGUAGCCGGACUGAGAGGUUGACCGGCCACAUUGGGACUGAGACACGGCCCAG